This 77-nucleotide transfer RNA is filed under the name candidate division TA06 bacterium ADurb.Bin417. Its description in RNAcentral is "tRNA-Arg". It matches the Rfam family "tRNA". From Rfam's summary of the family: Transfer RNA (tRNA) molecules are approximately 80 nucleotides in length. Their secondary structure includes four short double-helical elements and three loops (D, anti-codon, and T loops). Further hydrogen bonds mediate the characteristic L-shaped molecular structure. tRNAs have two regions of fundamental functional importance: the anti-codon, which is responsible for specific mRNA codon recognition, and the 3' end, to which the tRNAs corresponding amino acid is attached (by aminoacyl-tRNA synthetases). tRNAs cope with the degeneracy of the genetic code in two manners: having more than one tRNA (with a specific anti-codon) for a particular amino acid; and 'wobble' base-pairing, i.e. permitting non-standard base-pairing at the 3rd anti-codon position. The record is from RNAcentral. RNAcentral also lists the same sequence under 1 other name.
GCGCUUGUAGCUCAACUGGAUAGAGCGUUAGCCUCCGGAGCUAAAGGUUCAGGGUUCGACUCCCUGCAAGCGCGCCA